CAAUCUAUGGUAUUUACUUAUUUGCAUUUCUUGAAAAUCUGAACAAAAUGACUGAAUACUCACUACUCUCUCCUAAUCACAUGGUUC
Molecule: small nucleolar RNA, 87 nt
Gene: SNORD116
Rfam family: Small nucleolar RNA SNORD116
About the family: HBII-85 is a member of the C/D class of snoRNAs, which contain the C (UGAUGA) and D (CUGA) box motifs. HBII-85 is encoded in a tandemly repeated array with another C/D snoRNA, HBII-52, in the Prader-Willi syndrome (PWS) region of chromosome 15. Unlike most other snoRNAs, HBII-85 is expressed prevalently in the brain (but is absent in PWS patients) and lacks any significant complementarity with ribosomal RNA.
Source: Ensembl